RNAcentral lists this ribosomal RNA (365 nucleotides) under Bacillus pumilus. RNAcentral describes it as "partial 23S ribosomal RNA". The stretch from base 245 to 365 matches the Rfam family "Bacterial large subunit ribosomal RNA", at positions 1 to 121 of the family's 2925-position model. Lineage: Bacteria; Bacillati; Bacillota; Bacilli; Caryophanales; Bacillaceae. The record is from RNAcentral.
AGAGCGCACGCCUGAUAAGCGUGAGGUCGGUGGUUCGAGUCCAUUCAGGCCCMCCAUCUUYUAUUAAAUCGGGGCCUUAGCUCAGMSGGGAGAGCGCCUGCCUUGCACGCAGGAGGUCAGCGGUUCGAUCCCGYUAGGCUCCACCAAMKUGUUCUUUGAAAACUAGAUAACAAUAAGUAAUACAUUCACAUUGAAUGCAAUGCAAAGUUCAUCACACAUAGUGAUUCUUUCUAAAGUAAGAAAUGGUUAAGUUAGAAAGGGCGCACGGUGGAUGCCUUGGCACUAGGAGCCGAUGAAGGACGGGACGAACACCGAUAUGCUUCGGGGAGCUGUAAGCAAGCUUUGAUCCGGAGAUUUCCGAAUGG